RNAcentral lists this ribosomal RNA (253 nucleotides) under uncultured bacterium. RNAcentral's name for it is "partial 16S ribosomal RNA". It matches the Rfam family "Bacterial small subunit ribosomal RNA", at positions 524 to 776 of the family's 1533-position model. The record is from RNAcentral.
UACAGAGGGGGCAAGCGUUGUUCGGAAUUACUGGGCGUAAAGGGCGCGUAGGCGGCCCGCUAAGUCGAACGUGAAAUCCCCGAGCUCAACUCGGGAACUGCGUCCGAUACUGGCGGGCUUGAAUCCGGGAGAGGGAUGCGGAAUUCCAGGUGUAGCGGUGAAGUGCGUAGAUAUCAGGAGGAACACCGAUGGCGAAGGCAGGUCUCUGGGCCAUAACUGACGCUGAGAAGCGAAAGCAUGGGGAGCGAACAGG